GAGGGCCGCAGGGAGUGCGCAUGCGGCCGAGUGCGGGACUGGGGCUCCUGGCUGUGGGUGUGGUACCGAGGCUUCAGCGGGUGCCGCCCGCCUAGAGGGAGUGGAGCGAGAGCCUACGACUAGAUUUGCAUCUUUACGUCCUGCGCGGAGGCUGCUACACACAUGCAGAAGUCAUGCUGGUGGCCUGGACAGUGAAGGGAGAGAAGUGGAUUUGGGAGACAUUUAGGAGGAACAGUAAGAGGACCUUGUGCAUGAAUAAUUUGUUUCCACACUACAGACAGAAGAAUCCCAGACUUCUUAGAGAACCCAGUGACUUUUUGCACCUUAAAUCUGUGAAAUCCUCAUGUUUUCUUCUGCCGUAUCCAUAGUUCAAACAAAGAUGAGGCAAAGCUAGAUGCAUUCCUGAAGGAACCCAAGAAAUUCCUCUCUUUAUUUCUCUGGAAUGAAAUGAAUUCUCUAGACCACCAGUUCUAACCUUCAAAAACCAAACCUGUUUGUGAGAUCUCCUUCAAAUACUACUGUAGACCCCAGUGUUUAUUCAUUAAAUUUUUAAAAUAUUUGUUUUAUUUGGAAUCCA
This is a long non-coding RNA of Homo sapiens (human), 577 nucleotides long. Ensembl annotates it as ribosomal protein L23a pseudogene 7. Its record names the gene RPL23AP7. The record is from Ensembl. NCBI's taxonomy places the organism in Eukaryota, Metazoa, Chordata, Mammalia, Primates, Hominidae.